Molecule: long non-coding RNA, 15209 nt
Filed under: Triticum aestivum (bread wheat)
Lineage: Eukaryota; Viridiplantae; Streptophyta; Magnoliopsida; Poales; Poaceae
Description: long non-coding RNA (TAES_LNC014654)
Source: RNAcentral
ACAGAUGACUCCGCAACCAGUAAACUCUGUAAGUACUGUCGAAAACGGAGCUUGGUGAAGAUAUUUAGAACAUGCUGAACUGCGUUUUCUCUACAUGUGCUUUUAUCGGUUUGCAUGCUGCAUGUUUGAUGUUUUGCCUGAGCUGGGGAUGAAAUGGUACCGAAUGCCUGAAACUAACAUUAACGGUGUUCAGUUUAAGUGUACAUUUUGAGAUCAGUGCUAGUGUUUAUAAACGCUCAAAAUGUGUACAGUAUUUCUUAGAUUAACGUGUGCUUACUGUAUAAUUUAGGAAAGUUUUAAUAAUACUACAACAGAUGCUAAUUAAAUCAGGAAGUGAAGCACGACCAAACGUACCAUAUACAAUGUUCAGUUCAAGUUUAAUUUUCAGUUUAGUGCCAGAGUUUAUCAUCAAUCCAAAAAAUAUAUAUCUGAUUUUCACAUUGAUGAGUACUACUACUUACUUCUCCCAUUCCUUGGCUGAAGACUAUGUUUUGAACCGAGCCUUGCAGCAAGGAGGGAAUGGUUGCGUCUGUUUUGUGCUUGGAUGCUGUGACGCCCUCGAUUCAAUCGUACACUAAUCAUGCACGCAAAUGUGUACGACCAAGAUCAAGGACUCACGGGAAGAUAUCACAACACAACUCUAGACACAAAUUAAAAUAAUACAAGCUUUAUAUUACAAGCCAUGGGCCUCGAGGGCUCGAAUACAUAAACUCGAAUACAUAAGAGUCAGCGGAAGCAACAAUAUUUGAGUACAGACAUAAGUUAGACAAGUUUGCCUUAAGAAGGCUAGCACAAAAGCAUCUACGAUCGAAAAGGCAAGGCCUCCUGCCUGGGAGCCUCCUAACUACUCCUGGUCGUUGGCGUCCUCCACGUAGUAGUAGGCACCCUCGGGGUUGUGGUAGUCGUCGUCAAAGGUGGCGUCUGGAUCCUGGGCUCCGACAUCUCUGGUUGCAUCAACCGGAAAGAAGAAGAAAGGGGGAAAAGGGGGAGCAAAGAAAACGCGAGUACUCAUCCAAAGUACUCGCAAGCAAGGAUCUACACUACAUAUGCAACAUUAUCAAAGAGGGGUUGUAUAUGUGGACUGGGCUGCAGAAAUGCCAGAAUAGAGAGAAGGCCUAGUCCUAUCGAAGACUAGCAUCUUCUGGAAACCACCAUCUUGCAGCAAACAAGAGGGAGUAGAGUAGCAUAAAGUAAAGUGGUAGUAGUGUUAUCAACCUCGGCCAGAGAUCCUUUCUCAACUCCCUGCAAGAAAGCAAUCCCAGAGCCAUACUAUCCAGUUAUCAUCACAAUCAAAUCCUCAUCACCAUCCAGUUCUCAUCACAAGUAUCCAGUUCUAGUUGUAUCGAUCGGGAUACAACUCCAAGUGUCCUUUACCGUAGGACAGGCUAUCGAUAGAUGUUUUCUUCCCUGCAGGCGUGCACCAACUUACCCACCACGCUCGCUUAACUCCGGCCGGACACACUUUCCUGGGUCAUGCCCGGCCUCGGCCAAACAAUACGCCGCAACCCGACCUAGGCUUAAUAGAGAGGCCAGCACGCCGGACUAAACCUAUGCCCCCAGGGGUCAUGGGCCAUCUCCCCGGGAACUCCUGCACGUUGCGAACGCGGCCGGUGAGCAGACCUAGCUACCUCCUUAAAAAGGUAGGUGCUUACUAGUCCAACCCGGCGCGCGCCACUCAGUCGCUGACGUCUAUUAAGCUUCGGCUGAUGCAUACGACGCAGAACGCCCAUACUAUGCCCACGUGAUAGUUAGUGCUAUCAGGCCAGAGGCCCCUCGGAUCAAAUAUCCAAAUCGUAGUGGAUUAGGAACGCGCGGUAACAAGCAGAGACUCACGAAAGAUGUGACCCCGUUGCCCCGUCUCGAGGACUUGCGGCAAGGACUAGGAAUGCCCGACCAUGCCUCGUAAUUAUCUCGCGGGCACCCUCCAGGUCAACCCGUCUCCACAUCACUCGCAAUUAAGCUCGCGCGGGUACCCCUCAGGGUCGACCCGUCUUUCCAAGUAACAGGGGUAAAGUCCAAGUAUCCGUGUGUCCAAACAUCAAGGGGAAAACCUGAGGAAUCACCCCCGAUGAAUUCCACUAGAUGUAAUCAUCAAGGUGAACGUAAGAGGAAUCACCCCCGAGGUUCACACUUGAGGGGUUGCACGACAGAGUCGUAUCGAAAGUGGUUAAGGCGGAAUCACCCUCGAUGACCACGACCGAAUAGCUACACUAUAGGGUUAACAUCAGAAGUGUUGUAGAGGUCUCACCCUCGGCACUCGAUAGUAACCCAGCAGUGUCGAGCAACUAAGGGGAGAGUGAUGUGCGGUGGCGGGGCCUGGUCUUCGAUCCCGUUGAUCGGGUCUUCGAUGAUGAAGCAGGGGCAACAAGGACAAUGUGGGGGUCACUGAUGGAUCACUAACCAACCUAUACUAAGCAGUUUAGGAUAAGCAGGUAAGGUACAAUAGCAGAUACAAAAGCAGGCUAUGCAUCAGAAUAGGAGCAAACAAUAACAGUAGCAAAAUCUAAUGCAAGCAUGAGAGAAUGGAAUGGGCGAUAUUGGGAUGAUCAAAGGGGGGGGCUUGCCUGGUUGCUCUGGCAAGGAGGGGUCGUCGUCGACGUAGUCGAUCACAGGGGCGGCAUCGGUCUCGGGGUCUACCGAAGAGAAGAGGGGGAAGAAACAGUAAAUAUAAAGCAAACAUAGCAUCACAAAGCAGAACGUGGCAAUAUGCUGUGCCGGGAGUGACCUAACGCAUGGCUACACGAUAUAGGUGAAGGGGGAAAUCAACCGGGAAUGUAUUCCCGGUCCCGGACCCGUGUCACACAGAUGACCGGAGGGGAAAUGUUCCAUGUUCAGCAUGCUAGAGGCAUGUGACAGUUGAACAGACCGCAUUUUCAGAUUCGUUGGAUUUUUCUGGGCAACUUUCAUAUAGAAAACAUUUUCAUCGGAGUUACGUUUAUUUUCUAUGAAUUUUUAAAGUUUAAACAAUAUUCUGGAAUUAUUUAAGAAAUAACAGAAAAGGAAAUAUGACGUCAUCAUGGCGUCAUUGUUGCAUCAGCGGUCAACAGACUAGUUGACUAGUCAACAGGGCCCAGGGGGGACCCACUGGCAGUGACUGGGCGAUGCCCAGUCAGCCAUUGACUAGGUCAACAGGGCUAGCCGGGCCACUAGGGCCACGGGGCAGUGACCUGGCGAGGUGGACCCGGACGUCCACGUCGGCGCCGGCGUUGGGGAGCUCCGGUGAGCGUUCCCGCGGUGGAGGGGCGCCAGACCUUGCCGGAAUUCGCCGUCCGGCGGCCAAAAUGGCCGCGGGCGGGUGCGUUCGAACGGGAAGAAGAUGCCGCGUCGAACUGGGGUGGUAGCCGGGCCGGGGGCGGCCGGAGACGACGGUGGCAAGCGGCGGAGCGGACGCCGGAGAUCGGGCAUCGUCGGGAUCGGUGCUGGGGGGCGUUUGCGGGCAAACCACGCGGCUAGACGAGGCCUACGCGGUGCGGUGAGUGCGCUGGGCACUGGCCCGUGACCAUUUGGUCACCGGAGUCUUGCCGGCGACGAGAUCCGCGACGGAGAGUUCGGGCAUCUCCAAUGCGACCACUACGAUGACGGAAACGCGCGGGGAUAGAGGGAGAAGGACGACGACUGCUCACCGGGCCCUGUAGUUGUGCUCAAAUCGGCUCGGGGAGGCAUGUCGUCACCGGAAUCAUCGCCGGAGUUGAAGAUGGCCGUAGGGGAAGAAGAGGUCGUCGGGCUCGUCUCGGUGGCUUCCGGCUCCAAUGGCUUGGAUAGGACGACGCAGAGGACGACGGCGAAGCGCUACGUCAUCGGGGCGAGGCGAGAGGUCGACAGGGAGCGUGGGAUCGACGGCGCGCGGCAGCGGCUCCCUCGGUGAGGGAGGAGAAGGGUGAGGGGGAGCGAGGAGGAAUCUGGUGGGGAGAGGGAGAGGCGGAGCGGGGCAAGUGGGGAGGUGAGUGGAAGAGGCACCCGAGGCGUCGGGGGUGUGGAGGCCUUAUCCUCCCCCUCGUCGUCGACGGUGAGGCGGUCCGGGGCGACUGCGCCCCUGUAGCGACGGGGUCGGUCGAACAGGCAAGGCGACCCGGGGUAAGGUGGGCCGGCCAGUGUAAUGGGCUAAAGCCCAGGGAGGCAGGGGGCUCUUUUCUCACUCUCCCCUCUGCUUUUUCCUUUUUAUUUCUUUUUUUUUGUUUUUCCAGCAGCUUUUGCAUCUUCUUUUUAGACACUAAUGACUUUGCAAAAUUAUGCCACUGGCCAAGAUAAUUUUUAAAGAAUUAUUGUGCACUGCCACAAAAAGGUUGUGAGACUUUAAAAGUAGUUUGCAAAUUUUAUAAUUUAAUAAGGCAUUUAAAUUAUUGCUCAGCUCACUGUUAUAAGUAGUUUAGGCCACUUAAACACUUUUCAAAAAUGUUGGUUCAUCACCAAUAUUACUUGUGGAUUAUUUGGCACAUGAUGAACAUUUUAGUUUUCAUGUUUGAGCAAUUUUGAAUUUCACUCAUAACUUUAAAUUGAAAUCAACUGGAAUGUGAAAGAGUAUGAGACAAAAAUGAUCAGGCACAUGUUUAGCAAAACAAUUAACUUAACCCCAGGGGUUACUGUAGCAUCAUUACACCGGGGGUGUUACAACUCUCCUCCUCUAAAAGAAAUUCUCGUCCCGAGAAUUAAGAGGUAGAAGGGAACAGGUCGGGGUAUUCAGCACGGAGGUUAUCCUCGCGUUCCCAAGUGGCUUCAUCCUUAGAAUGAUUUGACCAUUGCACCUUGAGGAACUUGGUAACCUUCUGGUGUGUUCGACGUUCAGCUUCUUCAAGAAUGCAGAUCGGAUGCUCCUUGUAUGUGAGAUCAUCUUGAAUUUCAAUCAAUUCCGGAUCCACUUCACGUUCCGGAUCCUUGAAGCAUCGACGAAGUUGCGACACGUGAAAGACGUCAUGAACAUGAGAGAACUGAGGUGGCAACUCCAGUUGAUAAGCCACCAGUCCACAACGGGCCAGAAUGCGGAAAGGACCAAUGUAGCGCGGAGCUAGCUUGCCCUUGGCUCCGAACCUAUGAGUGCCUCUCAAAGGAGUGACACGCAGAUAAGCUUGUUCACCAGGUUGAUAAGUUGAACCCCAGUGUUUCCGGUCAUAGUUGCUCUUCUGGCGGGACUGGGCCGCCUUGAGAUUAUCCCGGACAAUGCGAACCUGCUCUUCAGCUUGUUGAAUAAUGUCUGGACCAAUGAGUGCCCGUUCGCCAGUUUCUGACCAAUUCAGAGGGGUUCGACACUUACGUCCAUAGAGCACUUCGAAGGGUGCCAUCUUCAAGCUGGCUUGAUAGCUGUUGUUAUAAGAGAACUCCGCAUAAGGGAGAGAUUCUUCCCACUUCUUGCCAAAAGAAAUAACACAAGCUCGAAGCAUGUCUUCAAGAAUUUGAUUGACUCGCUCGACUUGGCCUUGGGAUUGGGGAUGAUAAGCAGUGCUCCAGGUAAUAUGAGUUCCCAUUGCCUCUUGGAAACUAUCCCAGAACUUUGAAGUGAAUAAACUGCCACGGUCUGAACUGAUCUCCUUCGGAAUGCCAUGGAGUGACACAAUUCUAGAGAUAUACAAGUUUGCUAAUUGACUAGCAGUGAUUGUCUCCUUGACUGGCAGAAAGUGAGCAACUUUCGAGAAUUGGUCGAUGACAACAAAGAUAGCAUCGUUACUUUUCUGAGACUUGGGAAGUCCAGUGACGAAGUCCAUUUGAAUCUUAUCCCACUUCCAUUCAGGAAUCGGAAGCGGUUGUAGAAGUCCAGCCGGUUUCUGAGGUUCUGCUUUGACGCGACGGCAAACGUCACAUUCUUCGAUAUAUCGAGCAAUGUCUUGCUUCAUUUUAGACCACCAGUACUUCUAACGGAUGUCUAGAUACAUCUUGGUACUUCCCGGAUGAAUAGAGAGAGGGGUGUCAUGCGCUUCUUUCAUCACCUUCUCUGUCAUAAGCUCGAACCGGGGUACUACAAUGCGAUCUCUGAAGUAUAAGGUUCCAUCUUCACCAAGUGAGAAAUCUCUGGAUUUCUCUAAGGCAAGAUCCUUUUUCAUCAAAUCAACGUGAGCAUCUUUGGCUUGAGCAGACUUAAUUGCUUUCAGCAGAGUUGGUUCCAAUACAAGGUUAUUCAGAGAACCCUGUGGAACUAGUUGAAGGUUUAGCUUGCAUAGCUCUUCAUAAAGGCGGGGUUGAGCUUUGUAGACCAUGUGAUUAUUGCAAUAAGACUUGCGGCUCAGGGCAUCAGCCAUUACAUUAGCCUUACCAGGGGUAUAAGAUAUACCGCAGUUGUAGUCCGCAAUAGCUUCCAUCCACCACUGCUGACGGAGGUUCAGAUCUGGUUGAGUAAACAGGUACUUCAGACUCUGAUGAUCAGUGAAGAUCUCGCAACGAUUACCGAGAAGGUACUGUCGCCAUAGCUUCAAUGCAAAGAUAACCGCUGCAAGCUCAAGGUCAUGAACCGGGUAGUUUUCCUCGUGAGGACGCACUUGACGGGAAGCAUAAGCAAUCACCCUGCGCUCUUGCAUUAGAACACAGCCUAAUCCUUGACGUGAAGCGUCACAAUAGAUGACGAAGUCCUUGCGAGAAUCAGGAGGAGCAAGCACUGGGGCAGAAGUCAGCUUGUCCUUGAGUGCCUGGAAACUUUCCUGACAUUUGUCUGUCCAGUCGAACUUAACGCCUUUGUGAAGCAGAUUAGUCAGUGGCUUGGCGAUCUUGGAGAAAUUCUCAACAAAGCGGCGACAAUAGCUGGCUAGUCCGAGAAAGCUUCUGACUUGCUUGGCAGUCUUCGGAGGGGUCCAGUCAAGAAUAGCCUGAACGCGCUCUGGGUUGACGGCAAUACCAUCCUUGGAGAUGACAUGACCAAGGUAGGUGACUUCGGGCAACCAGAAUUCACACUUGGAAUACUUGGCAUAAAGUUGAUGCUCUCGAAGCUUCUCCAGAACAAGACGAAGAUGUUCAGCAUGUUCUUCUUUAUUCUUCGAAUAUACCAGGAUAUCAUCUAGAUAGACUACGACGAACUUGUCGAGGUAAUCCAUGAAUAUAUAGUUCAUCAGACGAGAGAAUGUAGCUGGAGCAUUGGUUAAACCGAAUGACAUGACGGUGUACUCGUAAGAACCAUAACGAAUGACGAAGGCGGUCUUUGGAAUAUCCUCUUCACGAACACGGAUCUGGUGGUAACCCAACCUCAAGUCGAGUUUAGAGAAUAUCGAUGAACCAGCAAGUUGAUCAUACAGAUCAUUGAUCCGAGGAAGGGGAUAUUUGUUCUGAAUUGUAGCUUGGUUGAUAGGACGGUAAUCUUGGACCAAACGGUUCGUUCUAUCCUUCUUCUUCACAAAGAGAGAAGGUGCUCCCCAAGUAGAGGAACUUGGACGAAUGAAACCCUUGCGAAGAGAUUUGUCGAUUUCCUCCUUAAGCUCAAGGAGUUCAUGAGGUGGCAUCUUGUAGGGUCGUUUGGCGAUAGGAACGGUGCCUGGUUUCAAGUCGAUGACGAACUCGACAGCCCGUGCAUGGGGUAUUCCUGGAAGUUCUUCUGGAAAUACGUCUUGGAAGUCGCGAACGACUGGAAUCUUUUCAAUUCCCUCAAGAGGUGUCGCGUUCAACGCAUUCAGCACAUAAAGUCGUGCUUCAGCGUUUCGAACCAGACGAGCAUUGUAGCUUACUAUCUCAUCUGAAGGGUGUAGAAGGUGGACGGUUUUAGUGGCACAAACGAUAGAAGCCGUAUGUGCUUUCAACCAAUCCAUUCCCAGAAUUAGGUCAAUAUUGGAAGACUUCAGAAUAAUGGGGGAUGCAAAGAAUUCCAACCCUUCAAUUUCAACUGAAACGUUGUGGCUAACCAUGGAGGUUUGGCAUUGGCCCGCAGGGGUUUUUACCACUAGUGGAGUGUGCAUCUCUUCGUAUUUAAUGCCAUGCAUGAAUGCAAAAUCUUCUGAUAUGAAAGAAUGUGAUGCUCCUGUAUCGAAUAAAACAGCAGCUGGUACUGAAUUAACGAGAAGAGUACCCAUCACAGUGGCAGGCUGGUCUUGAGCUUCAUUCAGAUCAACAUGAUUAGCAUGACCACGACCAUAAGGUUUGGCAUUGUUGUUAUAGGGCUGAUUGUUACGGCCAUUUGAAGGUAGAGCCAGCUGGCUCUUUUUCUGAGUGCACUCUUUAGCAAGGUGGUCGGGGCGGCCACAUCUGAAGCACAUACCAUCAUUGGGAUAGGGAGCAGGAGCUUGGGAUGGUACAUCUCGAAGAGGCUGCCUCUCUGGUGGAAGAGGCAGACGAGGUGUAGCAUAGGACUGUCUUGGUGCAGGUGCAGUUGGACGAUACAUGCUGUGGGGAAUCCAUAUCUGACGCUUCUGCAUUGACGGGCCCGAAGAUGGGCCAGCGUCACGGCUACGCCUGAGGGAUCCCUGGUGUUCCUGAAGGCCAGUCUCAACCUGAAUAGCCUUGUUCACCAAGGUGGCGAAGUCGGUAAAGUCAUGAACGAGCAGUGCUAGCUUGAUAUCAGGGUGAAGUCCGUCACGGAACUUUUCUUGCCUACGAGCAUCAGUAGCAAUGUCUUCUUCAGCGUAACGGGACAAUUCCAAGAAUUCCCGCUGAUAAGCAUCUACAGACUUGUUGCCUUGGGUGAAGUUACGGAACUCACGCUUCUUCCUGUCCAUGAUUCCCUGAGGAAUGAAGCGGGCACGAAAAGCGGCUUGGAAAUCUGGCCAAGUGAUGAGCGUUGCAGCAGGUAGGGUACGCCUGUGGCUGUCCCACCAUUGAGCAGCGGGACCCUUGAGGAAGAAGGACGCGAAGGUGACAUAGCUGGCAGGGGCAACACUAGCAGACUCCAUUUCAUACGUGAUGUCUCGGAGCCAGCCAUCAGCAUCAAAGGGCUGAGUUGAGCUGCGGUAGAUUGUUGGGUUGAGGCCCAUGAAGUCCUGCAGAGUAACUGGGGCUGGCUGCUGGUUCAUAUUCGGACGAGGAAACUGAGCCAUCAUUCCUUCCAUGAACUGGCGGUUCAGCUCAAACUGUUGCAUCAUUCCAGCAAAGAAUUCAGGCGGUGGUAGGUCGUUGCCACCACGACCACGACCAGCCGGUCUAACCAUCCUUCUAACAUGUAACAGGGGGUAGUUCAGCAUUGAGCAUUUGCAAAGGCAAGGAUCAUUCAUGAUGAAAACAUGCAUAAUGAAGGAGGUACGAUGGAUUCCACUUCGUAGUCCACACGACAGGUGUGUGUACUACUCAAGAGGCUAUUCUAAGGAAUAACUAUGGCUUUAUCCAACUUCGGGGUGAAUGUGGUCACGGGAUCCUAAUGUUAGUAAAUUCAUUUAACCCGAGUAGAAGAGAGUUCAGAGACCCAGAAUAUAGACGAGGAGUAAAAGAUGCUACUACCACCCAAUGGCGACGUGGGCCCGUAAGCCACACAGCCAAUGUUAGUAAAAUUUUUUCGGUGACUAGACUCAACUUCGGCCAAGGAGUUGGAAAGGGGCUACCUACAGACAGUCGGCUCUGAUACCAACUUGUGACGCCCUCGAUUCAAUCGUACACUAAUCAUGCACGCAAAUGUGUACGACCAAGAUCAAGGACUCACGGGAAGAUAUCACAACACAACUCUAGACACAAAUUAAAAUAAUACAAGCUUUAUAUUACAAGCCAUGGGCCUCGAGGGCUCGAAUACAUAAGCUCGAAUACACAAGAGUCAGCGAAAGCAACAAUAUCUAAGUACAGACAUAAGUUAGACAAGUUUGCCUUAAGAAGGCUAGCACAAAAGCAUCUACGAUCGAAAAGGCAAGGCCUCCUGCCUGGGAGCCUCCUAACUACUCCUGGUCGUUGGCGUCCUCCACGUAGUAGUAGGCACCCUCGGGGUUGUGGUAGUCGUCGUCAAAGGUGGCGUCUAGAUCCUGGGCUCCGACAUCUCUGGUUGCAUCAACCGGAAAGAAGAAGAAAGGGGGAAAAGGGGGAGCAAAGCAAACGUGAGUACUCAUCCAAAGUACUUGCAAGCAAGGAUCUACACUACAUAUGCAACAUUAUCAAAGAGGGGUUGUAUAUGUGGACUGGGCUGCAGAAAUGCCAGAAUAGAGAGAAGGCCUAGUCCUAUCGAAGACUAGCAUCUUCUGGAAACCACCAUCUUGCAGCAAACAAGAGGGAGUAGAGUAGCAUAAAGUAAAGUGGUAGUAGUGUUAUCAACCUCGGCCAGAGAUCCUUUCUCGACUCCCUGCGAGAAAGCAAUCCCAGAGCCAUACUAUCCAGUUAUCAUCACAAUCAAAUCCUCAUCACCAUCCAGUUCUCAUCACAAGUAUCCAGUUCUAGUUGUAUCGAUCGGGAUACAACUCCAAGUGUCCGUUACCGUAGGACAGGCUAUCGAUAGAUGUUUUCUUCCCUGCAGGGGUGCACUAACUUACCCACCACGCUCGCUUAACUCCAGCCGGACACACUUUCUUGGGUCAUGCCCGGCCUCGGCCAAACAAUACGCUGCAACCCGACCUAGGCUUAAUAGAGAGGCCAGCACGCCGGACUAAACCUAUGCCCCCAGGGGUCAUGGGCCAUCUCCCCGGGAACUCCUGCACGUUGCGAACGCGGCCGGUGAGCAGACCUAGCUACCUCCUUAAAAAGGUAGGUGCUUACCAGUCCAACCCGGCGCGCGCCGCUCAGUUGCUGACGUCUAUUAAGCUUCGGCUGAUGCAUACGACGCAGAACGCCCAUACUAUGCCCACGUGAUGGUUAGUGCUAUCAGGCCAGAGGCCCCUCGGAUCAAAUAUCCAAAUCGUAGUGGAUUAGGAACGCGCGGUAACAAGCAGAGACUCACGAAAGAUGUGACCCCGUUGCCCCGUCUCGAGGACUUGCGGCAAGGACUAGGAAUGCCCGGCCACGCCUCGUAAUUAUCUCGCGGGCACCCUCCAGGUCAACCCGUCUCCACAUCACUCACAAUUAAGCUCGCGCGGGUACCCCUCAGGGUCGACCCGUCUUUCCAAGUAACAGGGGUAAAGUCCAAGUAUCCGUGUGUCCAAACAUCAAGGGGAAAACCCGAGGAAUCACCCCCGAUGAAUUCCACUAGAUGUAAUCAUCAAGGUGAACGUAAGAGGAAUCACCCCCGAGGUUCACACUUGAGGGGUUGCACGACAGAGUCGUAUCGGAAGUGGUUAAGGCGGAAUCACCCUCGAUGACCACGACCGAAUAGCUACACUAUAGGGUUAACAUCAGAAGUGUUGUAGAGGUCUCACCCUCGGCACUCGAUAGUAACCCAGCAGUGUCGAGCAACUAAGGGGAGAGUGAUGUGCGGUGGCGGGGCCUGGUCUUCGAUCCCGUUGAUCGGGUCUUCGAUGAUGAAGCAGGGGCAACAAGGACAAUGUGGGGGUCACUGAUGGAUCACUAACCAACCUAUACUAAGCAGUUUAGGAUAAGCAGGUAAGGUACAAUAGCAGAUACAAAAGCAGGCUAUGCAUCAGAAUAGGAGCAAACAAUAACAGUAGCAAAAUCUAAUGCAAUCAUGAGAGAAUGGAAUGGGCGAUAUCGGGAUGAUCAAGGGGGGGGGGCUUGCCUAGUUGCUCUGGCAAGGAGGGGUCGUCGUCGACGUAGUCGAUCACAGGGUCGGCAUCGGUCUCGGGGUCUACCGAAGAGAAGAGGGGGAAGAAACAGUAAAUAUAAAGCAAACAUAGCAUCACAAAGCAGAACGUGGCAAUAUGCUGUGCCGGGAGUGACCUAACGCAUGGCUACACGAUAUAGGUGAAGGGGGAAAUCAACCGGGAAUGUAUUCCCGGUUCCGGACCCGUGUCACACAGAUGACCGGAGGGGAAAUGUUCCAUGUUCAGCAUGCUAGAGGCAUGUGACAGUUGAACGGACCGCAUUUUUAGAUUCGUUGGAUUUUUCUGGGCAACUUUCAUAUAGAAAACAUUUUCAUCGGAGUUACGGUUUAUUUUUUAUGAAUUUUUAAAGUUUAAACAAUAUUCUAGAAUUAUUUAAGAAAUAACAGAAAAGGAAAUAUGACGUCAUCAUGGCGUCAUUGUUGUAUCAGCGGUCAACAGACUAGUUGACUAGUCAACAGGGCCCAGGGGGGACCCACUGGCAGUGACUGGGCGAUGCCCAGUCAGCCAUUGACUAGGUCAACAGGGCUAGCCGGGCCACUAGGGCCACGGGGCAGUGACCUAGCGAGGUGGACCCGGACGUCCACGUCGGCGCCGGCGUUGGGGAGCUCCGGUGAGCGUUCCCGCGGCGGAGGGGCGCCAGACCUCGCCGGAAUUCGCCGUCCGGCGGCCAAAAUGGCCGCGGGCGGGUGCGUUCGAACGGGGAUAAGAUGCCGCGUUGAACUGGGGUGGUAGCCGGGCCGGGGGCGGCCGGAGACGACGGUGACAAGCGGCGGAGCGGACGCCAGAGAUCGGGCAUCGUCGGGAUCGGGGCUGGGGGGCGUUUGCGGGCAAACCACGCGGCUAGACGAGGCCUACGCGGUGCGGUGAGUGCGCUGGGCACUGGCCCGUGACCAUUUGGUCACCGGAGUCUUGCCGGCGAUGAGAUCCACGACGGAGAGUUCGGGCAUCUCCAAUGCGACCACUACGGUGACGGAAACACACGGGGAGAGAGGGAGAAGGACGACGACUGCUCACCGGGCCCUGUAGUUGUGCUCAAAUGGGCUCGGGGAGGCAUGUCGUCACCGGAAUCAUCGCCGGAGUUGAAGAUGGCCGUAGGGGAAGAAGAGGUCGUCGGGCUCGUCUCGGUGGCUUCCGGCUCCAAUGGCUUGGAUAGGACGACGCAGAGGACGACGGCGAAGCGCUACGUCAUCGGGGCGAGGCGAGAGGUCGACAGGGAGCGUGGGAUCGACGGCGCGCGGCAGCGGCUCCCUCGGUGAGGGAGGAGAAGGGUGAGGGGGAGCGAGGAGGAAUCUGGUGGGGAGAGGGAGAGGCGGAGCGGGGCAAGUGGGGAGGUGAGUGGGAGAGGCACCCGAGGCGUCGGGGGCGUGGAGGCCUUAUCCUCCCCCUCGUCGUCAACGGCGAGGCGGUCCGGGGCGACCGCGCCCCUGUAGCGACGGGGUCGGUCGAACAGGGAAGGUGACCCGGGGUAAGGUGGGCCGGCCAGUGUAAUGGGCUAAAGCCCAGGGAGGCAGGGGGCUCUUUUCUCACUCUCCCCUCUGCUUUUUCCUUUUUAUUUCUUUUUUUUGUUUUUCCAGCAGCUUUUGCAUCUUCUUUUUAGACACUAAUGACUUUGCAAAAUUAUGCCACUGGCCAAGAUAAUUUUCAAAGAAUUAUUGUGCACUGCCACAAAAAGGUUGUGAGACUUUAAAAGUAGUUUGCAAAUUUUAUAAUUUAAUAAGGCAUUUAAAUUAUUGCUCAGCUCACUGUUAUAAGUAGUUUAGGCCACUUAAACACUUUUCAAAAAUGUUGGUUCAUCACCAAUAUUACUUGUGGAUUAUUUGGCACAUGAUGAACAUUUUAGUUUUCAUGUUUGAGCAAUUUUGAAUUUCACUCAUAACUUUAAAUUGAAAUCAACUGGAAUGUGAAAGAGUAUGAGACAAAAAUGAUCAGGCACAUGUUUAGCAAAACAAUUAACUUAACCCCAGGGGUUACUGUAGCAUCAUUACACCGGGGGUGUUACAGACGCCUUCUCCUAGUUGUGCUAAAAUUGAGGUGCUUGUUUAAUUAACAAGCACCUUUCAUCCCCACUGUGACAGUAAUGCAUUGAGAUGCCUCUGGACUGUAGUGUAUGUUGAUACAAUUGAGGUGUUCCUAGCUAGUUUCUGCACUUAUAGAAUACUUUAUUGCUUUGUGUUUUCUCUUCUAGAAUUAGUAUACUUUACUUAUAUGUUUAUAUGUUGAAUGGCAGAAGCUCAAGGUGAAGAAGGCCAUCGAGAAGGGCAACACCGACAGCGCCCAGAUCUAUUGAGGUGGCGCCUAGUCUUCAUGCGGUCCUUUUGUCAUGAAAGAAUAGUGUUACAAAUCCUUCACGCUGCUAUUGAAUACUCCUGCUGCCACACAAGACGACCAAGGUCCACUCUGCUCUAGUGCUAUCCCUCGCUCUAGCUCUGUUCAUUGCUGCACAAGAAAAACAGAGACAAACGAAAACAAAUUAUCUAAGGUCAUGUUAUUAUUACCUAUAUAUGACAUUGCUACUGGAUUGCCUAGCGCCCCUGUUCAUGAUGGGUUAAACUUGUAUUCGCUCCUGUUGUUGCAUUUUGAUGAUCAUGAGUGUGAUGCAUUUUGAUGAUCUCCUUGUACCAGAUGAGUCCGUCGAUGAAGCAACAGCGUCUCCUCUAGAGGGUGACGGCGGCGGCGCCUGUGUGCGGCUUCGACUACAACCUCCUCUCUGGUGAGUCCAUCUCCUACCUCUAGCUACAUCUCUGAGCUGUUGUAAUACCAUGCUCUGUUUCAUGGCCGUGGCUUAUUUAGUCUGUGCUUGUUGUGCCUUGUGUAUUGGAGCCUAAUUAGCUUCUGUUAGGGGAUAAUCUACUGGUUAUAUCAAAAUUUUGCAUGAAAUUUUGUUCUGCUUAUUCUGCUAAGGUUGUUUGCAAUGGUUAUACAUAUGUUACACAAUUUUUGCUGCUGGCUAAUCAUCUUUAGAGAUAGUAACAUGGUGCUGCACUCUCAGGAUCAUCUUAUGAUACACAAUCAAUUUUUGGUGUGCUCAAAUUUUUAAUUUUAGUGAUAAGGAAAGAUCCCACCUAGUUUGCUGGCUCACUCACUUGAGUUGGUUUAACAGUAGUGGCCUCCUGACUUGUAGUUGGGUAGGUAGCUGAGAAGACUCAUGGUGCUGGCUGGGAGAAAAAGUUUAUAUGCAUGGAUAAUGAACUUGCACUAAAUGGACACAAAUAAAGGAGCUGAGUAUUAAAUUAACUUGUACUAAGUGGAAACAAUAUUCUGUAUGGUGUACAUAAAUAUCGAGUUGAUAGCUGAUCUGUAGCAAAUAUAACUGCGUGUAACUUCUUUACUUGGUUCCUCUUUUACAGGAGCUCCAGUCCUAAGAAAGUUGGAAGUGCGAAGACGUGAAGAAAAGCGCGAAGUUGUGAAGUGCGACUCAGCAAAGAGUUGUCUGUUCUAUUUGACUAUAAUAUUGUAAUAGCUGGUAUACCCUAGGUUGUAAUAGUCUACAGAAAUUGUAAUACACUAAUCUAGUGUUAUUUGACGAAUUUCACAUGUUCUCUUGUUUGGAAUAUUUGAUUAUGAAUGUGAUUUGAUAGUGUGUGAGAUGGGAACCUGACAGUGCAACCCACUUAUGAAAUAAUAUGAGUCUGUAACUUUCUGAUGUGUGUGAUCAAUAUAUGAGAUUAACAUGACUAGUGG